This 494-nucleotide small RNA is filed under the name Pongo abelii (Sumatran orangutan). RNAcentral's name for it is "retained intron". Lineage: Eukaryota; Metazoa; Chordata; Mammalia; Primates; Hominidae. The record is from RNAcentral.
UUGGAGCUGGAGAUGAGGGGCUGGGCACCCGUGGAAUAGGCAUGAGGCCAGAAGAGAGUGACAGCGAGCUCCUUGAGGAUGAGGAGGAUGAAGUGCCUCCUGAACCUCAGAUCAUUGUUGGCAUCUGUGCCAUGACCAAGAAAUCCAAGUCCAAGCCAAUGACUCAAAUCCUAGAGCGACUCUGCAGAUUUGACUACCUGACUGUUAUCAUUCUGGGAGAAGAUGUAAUCCUUAAUGAACCCGUGGAAAACUGGCCAUCCUGCCACUGCCUCAUCUCUUUCCACUCCAAAGGCUUUCCUCUGGACAAAGCUGUGGCUUACUCCAAGCUUCGAAACCCCUUUCUUAUCAAUGAUCUGGCCAUGCAGUAUUACAUCCAAGAUAGGUAUAACUUCCUGUUGACCAGUGAGAUGGGUGGCUUUGGGAUCAUGCAUGUUCAGGGAACCCACUCUGAGAGGGGCAGAGUCAAACCAACAUGCCUAAUUUUUGUACCAUAA